RNAcentral lists this ribosomal RNA (640 nucleotides) under Sarcophaga similis. RNAcentral's name for it is "partial 28S ribosomal RNA". It matches the Rfam family "Eukaryotic large subunit ribosomal RNA", at positions 148 to 664 of the family's 3401-position model. Lineage: Eukaryota; Metazoa; Arthropoda; Insecta; Diptera; Sarcophagidae. The record is from RNAcentral.
GUGUAUGGAAUGUCAAAUUUCUAGUAUGAGAAAUUAACGAUUUAAGUCCUUCUUAAAUGAGGCCAUUUACCCAUAGAGGGUGCCAGGCCCGUAUAACGUUAAUGAUUACUAGAUGGCAUUUCCAAAGAGUCGUGUUGCUUGAUAGUGCAGCACUAAGUGGGUGGUAAACUCCAUCUAAAACUAAAUAUAACCAUGAGACCGAUAGUAAACAAGUACCGUGAGGGAAAGUUGAAAAGAACUCUGAAUAGAGAGUUAAAUAGUACGUGAAACUGCUUAGAGGUUAAGCCCGAUGAACCUGAAUAUCCAUUAUAGAAAAUUCAUCAUUAUGAUUUUAAUAUUUAUAAUAUUAUAAUAAUGGUGUGCAUUUUUUCUAUAACGGACAUUGUAAUCUAUUAACAUAUAUAUAUUUAUCAAAAGAUCAAUGAUGCGUAAGUUUAUUCAAAUUAUUUUGCUUGCAAUUUAACAUAGAAUAAAUGCUCUUGAUUUGAUAAAGUGUUGAUAGAUUUAUUGUAUAUAGUGCUUAAAUAUUUAUAUUUUAUAAUAGCAUAUUAAUCAUUGAUUUUUAUGUUUAUUAUAUGCACUUAUAUGAUUAACAAUGCGAAAGAUUCAGGAUACCUUCGGGACCCGUCUUGAAACACGG